GACGAACGCUGGCGGCGUGCUUAACACAUGCAAGUCGAACGAUGAACCAGGGCUUGCCCUGGGAAUUAGUGGCGAACGGGUGAGUAACACGUGGGCAACCUGCCCCAGACACCGGGAUAACCAUCCGAAAGGAUGGCUAAUACCGGAUACGACCACUUUGGGCAUCCAACGGUGGUGGAAAAGGAUUCUGGUCUGGGAUGGGCCCGCGGCCUAUCAGCUUGUUGGUGGGGUAAUGGCCUACCAAGGCGACGACGGGUAGCCGGCCUGAGAGGGCGACCGGCCACACUGGGACUGAGACACGGCCCAGACUCCUACGGGAGGCAGCAGUGGGGAAUAUUGCGCAAUGGGCGAAAGCCUGACGCAGCGACGCCGCGUGAGGGACGAAGGUCUUCGGAUUGUAAACCUCUUUCAGCAGGGACGAAGCGAAAGUGACUGUACCUGCAGAAGAAGCACCGGCUAACUACGUGCCAGCAGCCGCGGUAA
Molecule: ribosomal RNA, 483 nt
Filed under: uncultured bacterium
Lineage: Bacteria
Description: bacterial SSU rRNA
Rfam family: Bacterial small subunit ribosomal RNA
Source: RNAcentral